RNAcentral lists this ribosomal RNA (479 nucleotides) under uncultured bacterium. RNAcentral's name for it is "partial 16S ribosomal RNA". It matches the Rfam family "Bacterial small subunit ribosomal RNA", at positions 28 to 507 of the family's 1533-position model. The record is from RNAcentral.
GAUGAACGCUAGCGGGAGGCCUAACACAUGCAAGCCGAGCGGUAUUGUUUCUUCGGAAAUGAGAGAGUGGCGUACGGGUGCGUAACACGUGUGCAACCUGCCUUUAUCUGGGGGAUAGCCUUUCGAAAGGAAGAUUAAUACUCCAUAAUAUAUUGAACGGCAUCGUUUAAUAUUGAAAGCUCCGGCGGAUAGAGAUGGGCACGCGCAAGAUUAGCUAGUUGGUGAGGUAACGGCCCACCAAGGCGAUGAUCUUUAGGGGGCCUGAGAGGGUGAUCCCCCAAACUGGUACUGAGACACGGACCAGACUCCUACGGGAGGCAGCAGUGAGGAAUAUUGGUCAAUGGGUGCAAGCCUGAACCAGCCAGCCCGCGUGAAGGACGACUGCCCUAUGGGUUGUAAACUUCUUUUGUAUAGGGAUAAACCUACCCUCGAGAGGGUAGCUGAAGGUACUAUACGAAUAAGCACCGGCUAACUACGUG